RNAcentral lists this long non-coding RNA (1932 nucleotides) under Linum usitatissimum (flax). Its description in RNAcentral is "long non-coding RNA (LUSI_LNC004567)". The record is from RNAcentral. Lineage: Eukaryota; Viridiplantae; Streptophyta; Magnoliopsida; Malpighiales; Linaceae.
GCAAACUUGCUACGCUGCUGGUUCCGCUAGUUGAAACGCUGGAUCCCCCAGUGUAAUCAUCUUCACUGGAACCUCGAGUGCUGCUUAUCGUAUCCGAAGGUACUGGGGAGUACUCUUUUAUGCUGCUGCACCCCGUCUCACUUUCUAUUAUGUGAUCCAAUGCACAAACCACCUGCCCUUUUCCCCACAUUUGUUUUUGUUAUUGUGUGAUCAAUUAUUAGUUUAUUAACCUACAUGACCAAUAGAUGAACCAAAAAAGAUGAACACUUGCCUUUUCCAUGGACAAUCUUUUCUUAGGGUCCUUGCUCAAGCACUUCUCUGCUACUCUCACCAUCCAGAAUAGCUGAUGCACAUCGUGGGUGUCCAAGAUCCUCUGGUCAAUCAAGUCUGGGUAAUUCUUAUCUUUCAGUAGUGGUCUUGCCUGCAUACAAUUGAUUGAAAACCCUAAUUCUUAUUUGGAUUUCUAUGCAUAAUGAGAAUGAUAUAUUAUUAAGCAGAAAAGAAAGCAUCUUUCUUUUGUUGUGUUAGUUGUUAAUUACCCAUCCCACUAGACUUUUCCCACCAAGUUUCUUGUCUGUGGUUUUGAGUCCAGUGAUCAGUUGUAACAGCACUAUCCCAAAUGAGUACACAUCUGUCUUGGUUGAUACUUUCCCAUAUUCUGCAUAUUCUGGUGCCAAGUAUCCCAGUGUUCCGACCACAUUUGUCUCCGUUGACAGUUCUUGAUCUUCUUGCUGUGUUCUUGCCAGGCCAAAAUCCCCUAGCUAGAAACAGUCCAGUCCACCGUGUUAGUUAUAAGACCAUCUCCAUCGUAAAAAUGAUUUGACAUUUCUAAUAAGAACUUUAUCACCACAUCACAAUUUCUAUUGAUAAAAUCUACAAUAUAAUUUACCUUUAAUUUUUUUUGUUUUAUUAAUUUAUCCUUACAAAAUUAAUGCUUUUCUUAGAAACUUAUUCUAUUUUACCUAUGUGGUAUUACUAGUUGAAUUACUAAUUAGGUGUCACCUCACCUUCUACCUCAUUUUAGCAAUUGCUAAAGUUUGAGGAUGGAGAUGCUCUAAGACCAGCUCUCUGCUAGUGUAUCUAUCAACAUUCAUUUCCAUAUUUCAUGCUAACGACAGGACAGACAUACCAUUGCCUCAUAAUCAUGGGUUAUGAGGAUGUUGCUUGGUCUCAUAUCUCUGUGGAUAAUGUUGUUUUCAUGCAAAUACUGUAACCCUUUUGCAGCUCCAAUGGCUAUCUUCAUUCUCAUUUCCCAACUGAGAGGCUUUCGGGUGUGUUCUGCAUUUGUUUCAUAAACAUGAUCAAUACAUCCACAAAAUAGUUUCAAAAUAAAGGACAAGCGCACAUAGUUGAUGAGAUUCUUACUUGAUAGGUGUUGAUCCAGAGAACCAUUGCAGACAUACUCAUACACAAGCAAUCUAUGGCUUCCUUCAGCACACGAACCUAACAACGUCACUAAAUUCUCAUGUCUUACUCUCUUCAGCACCAUAACUUCUGCUUUGAAUUCUUUCUCCCCCUGCAGGCUGGCACUCUUGUGUUGCUUCACAGCAACCUUCAUCCCAUUGAUAUCUCCUUUGUAGACAGAGCCAAACCCUCCUUCUGACAAGAAAUUCUUCACCGAAAAUCCUUCAGUAGCGGAAUGUAGCUCAGAGUACGUGAAGUCUCUCUUCCAUUCUGUCUUUGGCCUCUCAUUGUUGCAGAUUGAGCAAAUGGAGUUCCUAAAGGGCUCCUCCACUUUAGGACUGCUGUCUUCUGUAACUUCUUCCUCUUGGAUUUCACUCGGUGACACUGGAGGCUUAGCAUUAUUUGCUGCUUCUCUUUCAGCAAGGGUGGACUUCUCCUCCUCUUCAGGAUCUGCAGAGACUCUCGUUGGUCCAGUAGUACCAGAACAUGAAGACUCGUAGAAAAGACGAGCUGUAGUUGAUGUUACAG